RNAcentral lists this ribosomal RNA (505 nucleotides) under uncultured bacterium. RNAcentral describes it as "partial 16S ribosomal RNA". It matches the Rfam family "Bacterial small subunit ribosomal RNA", at positions 28 to 507 of the family's 1533-position model. The record is from RNAcentral.
GACGAACGCUGGCGGCGUGCCUAAUACAUGCAAGUAGAACGCACAGUUUAUACCGUAGCUUGCUACACCAUAGACUGUGAGUUGCGAACGGGUGAGUAACGCGUAGGUAACCUGCCUGUUAGCGGGGGAUAACUAUUGGAAACGAUAGCUAAUACCGCAUAAUAUUGAUUAUUGCAUGAUAAUUGAUUGAAAGAUGCUAUUGCAUCACUACCAGAUGGACCUGCGUUGUAUUAGCUAGUAGGUGAGGUAACGGCUCACCUAGGCGACGAUACAUAGCCGACCUGAGAGGGUGAUCGGCCACACUGGGACUGAGACACGGCCCAGACUCCUACGGGAGGCAGCAGUAGGGAAUCUUCGGCAAUGGACGAAAGUCUGACCGAGCAACGCCGCGUGAGUGAAGAAGGUUUUCGGAUCGUAAAGCUCUGUUGUAAGAGAAGAACGGGUGUGAGAGUGGAAAGUUCACACUGUGACGGUAUCUUACCAGAAAGGGACGGCUAACUACGUG